This 399-nucleotide long non-coding RNA is filed under the name Homo sapiens (human). Its description in RNAcentral is "non-protein coding lnc-ZNF25-3:7". Lineage: Eukaryota; Metazoa; Chordata; Mammalia; Primates; Hominidae. The record is from RNAcentral.
GCUGGCAGUUCUGUGUCGCUAGGCUUCGGCCCGGCCGCCGCCACACAUAAGCUGCGAUGAGGAGCUUUACGACUUCCCGGUCUUCGGGGCCGGGCGCAGCAAGGGCCAGACUCUGCGCUAGCAGGCGCUGCGCGCCAACCGGCCGGCACCUGUCGCAGAAGGUGCAACCGAUCGCACUGUCGCGCAGAAGCUCCUCAAUGGCCAGCACCAGCUGCAGCCCCGGCCGCCCACUCGCCUCACUUGAGCCUGCUGGCAGCCUGCUAUCAAUUAUAUUGAUAGUAAAUUUGAGGACUACCUAAAUGCAGAAUCGCGAGUGAACAGAUGUCAGAUGCCUGGUAACAGGGUGCAGUGUUGUUUAUACUUCAUUGCUCCUUCAGGACAUGGGUCAGUAACCUGAUA